This 253-nucleotide ribosomal RNA is filed under the name uncultured bacterium. RNAcentral describes it as "partial 16S ribosomal RNA". It matches the Rfam family "Bacterial small subunit ribosomal RNA", at positions 524 to 776 of the family's 1533-position model. The record is from RNAcentral.
UACGUAGGGUGCGAGCGUUGUCCGGAAUUAUUGGGCGUAAAGAGCUCGUAGGCGGUUUGUCGCGUCGACUGUGAAAACCUACAGCUUAACUGUGGGCUUGCAGUCGAUACGGGCAGACUUGAGUUCGGUAGGGGAGACUGGAAUUCCUGGUGUAGCGGUGAAAUGCGCAGAUAUCAGGAGGAACACCGGUGGCGAAGGCGGAUCUCUGGGCCUUACCUGACGCUGAGGCGCGAAAGCUAGGGGAGCGAACAGG